RNAcentral lists this long non-coding RNA (667 nucleotides) under Manihot esculenta (cassava). RNAcentral describes it as "long non-coding RNA (MESC_LNC006976)". Lineage: Eukaryota; Viridiplantae; Streptophyta; Magnoliopsida; Malpighiales; Euphorbiaceae. The record is from RNAcentral.
GCUUAAUAGCUAUGCCAAGUUAUGCCAAGUUAUGCCAAGUAAUUUCUCAGCUUGUUAACCUGAUAACAGUUUGAGAAUGCAUCAGGCUAAAACAACAGUUGUUCUUAAGUAGAUUACAGUUCCUUUUUUGAAAAAUAGUAUAAGUUUACACUGCUCUUCUUUGUGGUAUUCACUUGUCUGCAGAUUUUAUUUCACCCUGUAAUCACGCUAAAGGAGCUUGAACUUGGAUUAUCUUCUAGGCGGCAGCUGGAUAACGCUGAAAAAUAUAACUUUGACUAAAGCUGUUGUGGGCUUGUAGCGUUCUGCCUAAAGGUAACAGAGAGGAUAAAGAACUUUUGGUGGAAGAUAUUUAUUCUUAAAGAACAAAUCAUUUUGAGGAUAACUGACAAAAACCAAAUGCAUAAAAAAAAAAGGAACUUAGCCUGCAGCAUCGAGUCUUUGCACACUUUAAAAGGGGAAUCAUUUUGAUUGGAACUGGAAGAACACUGAUUGUAAUUGUGGAUUCUGGAGGAUGGGAAUUACCUGAUGUUUAUGAUGCAGGUGAAGGAGCAUGCUGUUGAACUUGCAAAGGCCAUGGAGAUGAGGAUGGGGUAACUGCAGCUGUGAAAGCAUUCUUUAAGCAUCUCCCUCUGAUAAAGCUGGAGCCUGAGCCGCUGCCAGAAAGUCC